UUCCCAUCGCCUAUAGAACUCUGGGCUUCAUCCUGCUUCAGAUUCACCUGAUGAACCAAUGAACCUUCAACAGGGGUGUUUUUAAUCCAGAUAAUACCACAGGAAGUUCAGUGAUUCACAGGUGGAGGAAUCUCGCCGUCUGUGAACUGCUGUGAUUUUAUUUAAAGCUACGACGCACCGAAGUGAAACUUUUCCUGUGUUGUUGUUUUUUUCCUCAAAGCAUUAAACAGAGAUCAGGCCCUGGGCUUCGAGGAUACAACCUGAAGACCGUCAGAGACUCGAACCUGAAGCUGCUCCACAAGUGGCUUUUUGCUGACUCCAAAACCAAAACUCACAAAUACAGACUCUAAUUUCCCGACUCCUGAUUCCCAAAUAAUGAAUCUCGAUUCGUGAAUCCUGAAUUGUGACUUCUGUCUCCUGAAUCCUGAAUACGGACUCCAAAUCCAGACUCCUGAUUCCUGACUACUGAAUCCUGACAUCUGCCUCCUAAAUCCAACUUCCAAAUCUUGACUAUCUAAAGAGAUGAGAGAUGAUGUGAUAAGAGGAGAUGAGACGUGAUUAAGGGGUGAUGAGACGUGAUGAGACGAGAGAAAAGGAGACAUAGUGAGAGACUGCUUCACCCCCGGGGGGCGUCACAGCAAAGGUGUACAAACAGGUGAUUGGCACCUGCUGCCCUCCGGAUGGAUAGUGAGACCAUCCAGACGUGUUCCUUUACUCGUUCUACACUUUAUUUACAUUUAAAGGCUAAAUGCAAUUUACACUUCAGAUGAAAGAACAGAUUAGUUCUGGUUUAUUUUUGACUCCAAUGAACCCAAAGUUCUUCAUGUAUUUGGUCACUGCUACACUGUUAUAAACCUCUUCUUCAUUACGAUCAUCACUGCCCUCCUCAUCUGUUUCUCACAGCAGUGUGUCAUUAGCAGUCCGUCUGUGUGGAGGUGCUGAUCGCUGUGUGCUCAGGAUCUCCUCAGGUUCAUGAAGACUCUCAGAGGAUGUUUUUUUCUUUCUUCUCUGUCAGUGAGGUCACCGCUCAGAGAGAAGAAAGAGCAGCGUGUCGAGAAUAAAACAUCUCACAAUCUUUCAGAGGAUUCAGGAAGUGCUGAGCUGCAUACCUAAUGCUAAUGCUAGUCUAAAAAAAACAAACAAACCCCAGAUAUCAUGGUUUAUAAAGAUGAAGAUUAUCUCUGCCUUGUCGUUGCAACACACACACACACACACACACACACACACACACACUGCUCCACACUGGACUUCCUGUUCACUCAAGCUUGUUCUGGACACUUGGUUCUUGAAGGAAUGUGAACUUUUUCCAGUUGCGUUUAUCAAACAUUAAGCUUUUAAACUUCUCCUUUCGGUUUGCAAUGUGAAUAGUGAGACGAAGCUUGGUGCAAUUUUUGGUUAAAUUUUUCUUAACUGAAGAUUGGUGUAACCAAUCAGAUCACAGAUCCUACUGCAUGGUCCUACUGCACCAAGCU
Molecule: long non-coding RNA, 1472 nt
Organism: Silurus meridionalis
Lineage: Eukaryota; Metazoa; Chordata; Actinopteri; Siluriformes; Siluridae
Exons: 4
Source: RefSeq, a predicted model, not a curated record